Xiphophorus hellerii (green swordtail) is the source of this 1582-nucleotide long non-coding RNA. RefSeq lists it as uncharacterized. NCBI's taxonomy places the organism in Eukaryota, Metazoa, Chordata, Actinopteri, Cyprinodontiformes, Poeciliidae. The record is from RefSeq and is a predicted model, not a curated record. The transcript is spliced from 2 exons.
UGUAAUGCGACUUUUAAGAGUCGCUUGCUUUUGUUUCCCACACCGCUUCCGACAUAAACUGGACGAAGUUCUUCUCAUCAGACUGUGCUUUUUGAAGUCUCCUGGCAUGAAGCAUUCACAGGUGGUCCAUUGGCAGGAUUUUCAAAAAGCUCUAUUUCCUUUCAACUUGGUGUCUUUAUUUACGCUGGCACGAGGGACGCCCUGGACGGGGCGCCAUCUGACCAGAGGUUGUGGGGCGAAAGCGGCACAGAAGAGAGAAAUGACAGUGAUGGAGGGGGCAAAGAUAGAGGAAUGACAGGUAAUCCAUCAGAAGGAUGACUGUCAUUAUUCAAUUACCACCCAUCCUUAGCGCUCUUGAUAGCCACACACACCCACCCACACAUCUCUACUCUCACACAGUGAGAAUUUGCAGUGGGUUGGGGGGGAUCCUCUUACACGAGGUGGGUGAGUGCUCUGUGGGUGGCGAGGUGAAGCAGGAUAUGGGACUUGGCUCCAGUUUCUUAUACGCUUUUAGUGCAACAGACCCUUAAAUCUCUGGUCCUCCUUCCUACAUCUCUCAUCUCCAUUCCUUUCCUCUUCCCAAUGCCUUUCACAUCUAACCCAUUCACCAUGCUUCCUUCAUUCCCUCCCUCAUCUCGUUCCACACAGUUCAUUCAAGCUCCUUAGCCCUGAGAUGAUAAGGGACACAGAGAAUGAUUAGAUACCAGUGACACCAGGCUUAUCGCUCUGCUCCCACACUGCUCUCCAGAUCCUUUUGCAUUAUGAAAACCAAGCAAAGCAAGAAAACACACACACACACCCACACACAUGUGAGGCUCAUGGGAUUUGCUAUACUUGUUUAUGGACUCUGUUUACAUUAUGGAGCAUGUUGCUUCUGUAAUGAUGCAGGUGCUGAAUAAUAAUAAUAAUAAAGAGACCAAAAGUGGCAGAUUGUGAGCGUGAAGCAAUGGAAACAAAGAUGUUUAUUAAUAUUAUUAGUUCUUGACAAUUUGUGUAGUUUUGUGCAAAGUUGUAGAAGUGAAUUGAUAGGUAAAGAUGCUUUUGUACUUCUCUUUAGAUCCUUUGACAAUAUUUGUUUUGCCUGGAAUGAACGUCUCCUUGUCUUGUCAGAAGCUUUGUGGACAUGAGCAAUCACUUAGCCUCGAAAUGAGCAAUGAAAGCAUCUGCAAAUGCUUCGACUGUUAAGCCACGGCCCUUUUGUCCGGCAAACCCAGCUGUGUGCUCUGAAAGCAUGUUUAAUGUUAAAGAACAAACUGAUCUGUCUCUGUUGGCAGACUUCAUAUCUGAAAAGGAUUUUUAUUACCUUUUGCUUCAUUUCCAUGCCUUGUUAACAAAUUUAACUCUGUUAUAGCAGCUGAACAUCUUUUUUUAUGCUUCUGACAUGUGAAGCAAAACUUUUUAAACCUUCAAACUCAUCUUUCUUUUUGGCAAAAUCAUGAAUGCCCUUAAAGGGCCGGUUGUGCCAGAAUGUAUUGAUAAAGUCUGUUCACAAACUGUUAAAAUAUCAAUAAAUUCAUAAAAUUAAAUAAUAUUAUUGAACAUCUUUUUGGUCUCUCCAGGAUUUCGUGAUUCUUUCUGCAAU